UACGAGGGGUGCAAGCGUUGCUCGGAAUUAUUGGGCGUAAAGGGUAGGUAGGUGGUCUCAUUUGUCUGAGGUGAAAGCCUUGAGCUUAACUCAAGAAGUGCCUUAGAAACGGUGAGACUGGAGUCCUGGAGAGGGUCGUGGAAUUCCCGGUGUAGCGGUGAAAUGCGUAGAGAUCGGGAGGAACACCAGCGGCGAAGGCGGCGACCUGGACAGGUACUGACACUCAACUACGAAAGCGUGGGCAGCAAACAGG
RNAcentral lists this ribosomal RNA (253 nucleotides) under uncultured bacterium. RNAcentral's name for it is "partial 16S ribosomal RNA". It matches the Rfam family "Bacterial small subunit ribosomal RNA", at positions 524 to 776 of the family's 1533-position model. The record is from RNAcentral.